RNAcentral lists this ribosomal RNA (447 nucleotides) under uncultured bacterium. RNAcentral's name for it is "bacterial SSU rRNA". It matches the Rfam family "Bacterial small subunit ribosomal RNA", at positions 355 to 825 of the family's 1533-position model. The record is from RNAcentral.
UGGGGAAUUUUGGGCAAUGGGCGAAAGCCUGACCCAGCAACGCCGCGUGAAGGAUGAAGUAUUUCGGUAUGUAAACUUCGAAAGAAUAGGAAGAAUAAAUGACGGUACUAUUUAUAAGGUCCGGCUAACUACGUGCCAGCAGCCGCGGUAAUACGUAGGGACCAAGCGUUGUUCGGAUUUACUGGGCGUAAAGGGCGCGUAGGCGGCAAUUCAAGUCAUCUGUGAAAUCUCCGGGCUUAACUCGGAACGGUCAGAUGAUACUGCUUUGCCAGAGUGCAGAAGGGGCAAUCGGAAUUCUUGGUGUAGCGGUGAAAUGCGUAGAUAUCAAGAGGAACACCUGAGGUGAAGACGGGUUGCUGGGCUGACACUGACGCUGAGGCGCGAAAGCCAGGGGAGCAAACGGGAUUAGAUACCCCUGUAGUCCCUGAGCGGGCUGGCAAGGCGCAU